Molecule: transfer RNA, 76 nt
Filed under: Ignavibacteria bacterium
Lineage: Bacteria; Pseudomonadati; Ignavibacteriota; Ignavibacteria
Description: tRNA-Thr
Rfam family: tRNA
About the family: Transfer RNA (tRNA) molecules are approximately 80 nucleotides in length. Their secondary structure includes four short double-helical elements and three loops (D, anti-codon, and T loops). Further hydrogen bonds mediate the characteristic L-shaped molecular structure. tRNAs have two regions of fundamental functional importance: the anti-codon, which is responsible for specific mRNA codon recognition, and the 3' end, to which the tRNAs corresponding amino acid is attached (by aminoacyl-tRNA synthetases). tRNAs cope with the degeneracy of the genetic code in two manners: having more than one tRNA (with a specific anti-codon) for a particular amino acid; and 'wobble' base-pairing, i.e. permitting non-standard base-pairing at the 3rd anti-codon position.
Source: RNAcentral
GCUGGCGUAGCUCAGUUGGUAGAGCAGCUGAUUUGUAAUCAGCAGGCCACCAGUUCAAGUCUGGUCGCCAGCUCAA